Long non-coding RNA from Amyelois transitella, 1807 nucleotides. RefSeq lists it as uncharacterized. NCBI's taxonomy places the organism in Eukaryota, Metazoa, Arthropoda, Insecta, Lepidoptera, Pyralidae. The transcript is spliced from 6 exons. The record is from RefSeq and is a predicted model, not a curated record.
UUCAAGUUCGUGCGAUCGAUCAUAUGUUUUCUUUGUGUAGUUUUUUCAGCCGCUGUAAUUCGAAUUGGUUAUAAAGUUCACGUGUUAAAGGGCCUAUUUAUUACUUUAAGCAGUGAUAAGAGCGGAUCUAUAGUAUUGAACUCGUGAAGAGUGUUUUUCGAACAAAAAAUAAGUAGUGCAUAAAGUUGCAUUUCAAUGUGCACGUGCUUGCAUUUUUCAGGCUAACUCAUUAAUUUUUCAGUAAAGUGGUGUAAAUAAGAGGCGUGUAUUAUAAAGCAAGUCUUUAGUAUUGUUAUUUAGAGUCUUCCGCGUGGUUGAGAGCGGUUUCCUUGAUCAACGUGAUCGUAAAUAAUUAGGUGUGUGUGGUAUUCCUAGGUACUUGGUUAUUAUAACAGGUUAUCACGAUGAGUUCUAUUUCUUCGAGAAGUGCUCUUACGGAUGAAGUGAUCGUGAUGAAUGCACCAAUGAUGCAAUAUACAAAGUGCAGUGUUAUUUGUGCCACAGAUAAUCAAGUGGAAAUUAAUUGUAGAAUUUAUAGUGCAAUCGACCAUAUAAAAAGGUGAUAAAAAGUGUGAACAGCAAGUUUUAAAAAAAAUAAUUAUUUGUGUAGUGUGCCUAUUGGAUGCAGUGAUCUUCGUUAGAUGGCGCUGUUGGGAUUAUUGCUAAGCAAGUGAGAUGCUUGUGCUAUUCGCCGCUAGGUGGCGUUGGUCUGGGUUCAACACUGAUAACUUCUGAUAACAAGUUGAACCGAACACGACCUUGGUUCGAGUAAACUCGAGAAAUCAACGCCAUCGAAUUCUUCUCACCACUUGCAGCAAUGAUACAACGCGAUAUAUCUUUUACAAAAAAGUUCCUUCGGUCUUCGGCACAUCCACCAUUCAAGAUCUACAAUUAGAUUGGGCUCUUAAUGUUACAAAGACAUUUCCAGAUUCAUUGUAAUCUUUCCAUUGAAGUAUAACCUAGCAACAAGUGGACCACAAAAAACUGGCAGUUGACUAUUAUCACCAAGUUCAACAUUACUUAUUAUUAUUUAUUUUAUUAUUUUUUUGUCAACUUUCAUUACGUGAUAAAGUUUCAUUACAGUUUAUUGUGUAAUUACUUAAAAUUGAUUUGUAACAUUUAGCAGCCCAAUGUUAUCACAUGAUCUUAUGAAUAAUGUUAAAACAAACAUUUACAUUGAAAAGGUCUUGGAGGGAAUCGAAAAAAUGCUCUUGUUAGUUUAUAAGUUAUAUGACUUUGCCGAUUGUGAUCUUCGUAACAUUUUUUUGUUUUCCUUCGUGAUCCUGAAAAGUUCGCGCAUUUAUAUUAUUUAUGUUGUUGUUAAAUACAUUUUUAUUUAUGUGUAAAGUUUUAUUUGAAUUUUGAAUAAUAUUGACUAACAAAUACUAAACAUUCUAACGCAUGACUUUAUAUUUUACGAAUCCAACUCGCGAGUGUGCAUGACUUGAUGUUGUUAUAGAUUUAUUUUUAAUUUUACACAUUGUUAAUUGUUUAGACUACCUGCUACGCUGACAUGCUUUUGUUAAUUUAAAUGUGAUAAUUAUUAUUGAUUUUGAAAUGUUUACUUCAACAAUUUUUAUAUCAUGUGAUCAAAAUGUAAGAGAUCUGUAAUUAUUCGUACGCCUUGCUCCAUAAAACUUGAUUUUAGGCUAAAUCGAAUCAGUCACUUAAAUUCGAGUUUUAGUUUAUGCAUGGCAAUACCCGGGGAUUGCAUUCUAGUUUUUUUAAGAAGAAAAAUUUGAUUAUGCAAUCUGAUUUAUUUGAAAUCGAUGUUAUUUUAUUAAAUUUGAUUAUAAUCAAUAAACAU